AUGAACGCUGGCGGCGUGCCUAAUACAUGCAAGUCGAGCGAACAGACGAGGAGCUUGCUCCUCUGACGUUAGCGGCGGACGGGUGAGUAACACGUGGAUAACCUACCUAUAAGACUGGGAUAACUUCGGGAAACCGGAGCUAAUACCGGAUAAUAUAUUGAACCGCAUGGUUCAAUAGUGAAAGACGGUUUUGCUGUCACUUAUAGAUGGAUCCGCGCCGCAUUAGCUAGUUGGUAAGGUAACGGCUUACCAAGGCGACGAUGCGUAGCCGACCUGAGAGGGUGAUCGGCCACACUGGAACUGAGACACGGUCCAGACUCCUACGGGAGGCAGCAGUAGGGAAUCUUCCGCAAUGGGCGAAAGCCUGACGGAGCAACGCCGCGUGAGUGAUGAAGGUCUUCGGAUCGUAAAACUCUGUUAUUAGGGAAGGACAAAUGUGUAAGUAACUAUGCACGUCUUGACGGUACCUAAUCAGAAAGCCACGGCUAACUACGUG
RNAcentral lists this ribosomal RNA (496 nucleotides) under uncultured bacterium. RNAcentral describes it as "partial 16S ribosomal RNA". It matches the Rfam family "Bacterial small subunit ribosomal RNA", at positions 29 to 507 of the family's 1533-position model. The record is from RNAcentral.